RNAcentral lists this ribosomal RNA (112 nucleotides) under Caerostris darwini. Lineage: Eukaryota; Metazoa; Arthropoda; Arachnida; Araneae; Araneidae. The record is from RNAcentral.
AACGACCAUACCAUGCUGAAUAUACCGGUUCUCGUUAGAUCACCGAAGUCAAGCAUCAUUGGGCUCGGUCAGUACUUGGGUGGGUGACCACCUGGGAACACCGCGUGCCGUU